Molecule: RNA transcript, 2556 nt
Organism: Trifolium pratense (red clover)
Lineage: Eukaryota; Viridiplantae; Streptophyta; Magnoliopsida; Fabales; Fabaceae
Gene name: phytoene synthase 2, chloroplastic
Exons: 7
Source: RefSeq, a predicted model, not a curated record
UGACACAAGGCAGUAUGGAAGUGAUUACUCAAAGCUACAAAACUUGAUAACAAUCGUGUGAAAUCCACAACCAUACAUUGUCCUUCAAAGAAGAGCCAUUCCAUAACAAAAAGGGUCACAUUAUUUUAUUUUGAAAAAAAAUAAUAUUCUUAUUAUUACAAGCAAGGUCUGGAAGAGUGGAGAAUUUGGUGGGUCAUUACCAUUCAUAUCAAAUUGUGAGUUAGCUUUGGUGGAACAAGUUUUUCUCUUUUCAGGAAAGUGCUUUUCAAGGAUUUUAUUGGAUAGAAGCAAGUUUCUUUGCAUUGUUUUGCUUGUGUUUUCAAUUGGGUUUUUUUAUAUGAAGUGAGUUUAAUGGUUUUCUGAAGGUUUCAUAUUUGAGGGAAUAGAAGGAACUAGGAAGUAAUUUUUAACAAGGAGGUUCAUAAAACAACAAGAGUUUAAUCAUGUCUUUGACAUUAUUAAGGGUUGCUUCCUCACCUAACUUAGAGGUCUCGAAUUCCAAUGGUUUACUCGAUUCUUUCGGGGUUAAGAAGCUCGUAGAUUCUUCGAAGUUCUUAUCUAGAGACUUUGUGUCAAUUAGAGCAAAAAAGAAUGAUAAGAAAAAGAGUAGGAGAUUUUGCAGCUUGAGUACAGAUGUGAAAUAUGCAUGUGUUGGUCAGUCUGGUUUAGAGAGUUCUAGUAACUUCCCUUUAGUAUCCAACGUGCUCGCAAGCACUGCAGUAGGAGAAGUGGCUAUUUCGUCUGAGCAGAAGGUCUAUGAUGUGGUGUUGAAGCAGGCGUCGUUGGUUAAGAGGAAGCUGAGCUCUACCGGUGAGCUUGAGGUCAAACCGGAAAUUGUUUUGCCCGGGAAUUUGAGCUUGUUGAGUGAGGCCUAUGAUCGUUGUGGAGAAAUUUGCGCAGAAUAUGCUAAAACAUUUUACUUGGGUACUCUUCUAAUGACUCCAGAAAGGCGAAGAGCGAUCUGGGCUAUAUAUGUGUGGUGUAGGAGGACGGAUGAACUUGUCGAUGGCCCUAAUGCUUCACAUAUUACAGCAACUGCUAUGGAUAGGUGGGAAUCAAGAUUGGAUGAACUUUUCCAAGGACGUCCAUUUGAUAUGCUUGAUGCUGCUUUAUCAGAUACGGUUGCCAAAUUUCCUGUUGAUAUCCAGCCAUUUAAAGAUAUGAUAGAAGGAAUGAGAAUGGAUCUAAAGAAAUCAAGAUACAAAACCUUUGACGAAUUAUAUCUUUAUUGUUACUAUGUUGCUGGAACUGUUGGUUUGAUGAGUGUUCCAGUAAUGGGAAUUUCAACGCUUUCACAAGCCCCAACAGAAAGUGUAUACAAUGCUGCCUUGGCCUUAGGAAUUGCAAAUCAGCUAACCAACAUACUCAGAGAUGUCGGAGAAGAUGCAAGGAGAGGAAGAGUGUAUCUACCACAAGAUGAGUUGGCUCUGGCAGGGCUUUCAGAUGAUGACAUAUUUGCCGGUAAGGUGACUGACAAGUGGAGGAACUUCAUGAAGAGUCAAAUAAAAAGGGCGAGAAUGUUUUUCGAUGAGGCAGAAAAGGGAGUGACGGAGCUUAAUGAACAGAGCAGAUGGCCGGUAAGAAAUUCAAACAAAUAUCAUUAUUCAAAACCUUCUUAAUAGCUGAAAUUUCGUUGUUUUGGAGUAUAUAUUAUGUGUGUGUAGUUUAUGUCUUUGCAUGACAAUGUGAGAAGUAGAUUCUGAGUGUUGAGUCUAAUCAUGAAGGGUAAAGAUUAAAACAGUCAUAUAAGUUUUUUAAUCAGUCACGUGACGUUUUAUAAAGGAUCUAAUCAUCAAAUCAUUGAAAACAUUUAACUUUAACCAUAACUAUUUCUAAAGUCACACAUAUCAGUGAUUAUGAUUUGUUAAUAGCGCAAAGGUUUUUUACACUAGUAGUACAUCAAAAUUAAACUCGUAACUUUUUAAUAUUGACCAUCUGUGUAUAUAAGGUUUACACUUCUCGCUCGUGUAAAAAUGGUUAUAUCACUAGAUACAUCUUGACUAUAUUGGUUGUCUCGACUCGUGACAAUUUAACGUCAAGUGUCAUUGACCAAGGUUUAAGGUUUUUGACUUCUAUUCAUGAUGAGUUAACUUUAAUAUGUCACACUAGUAAUCAUUUUACAACUGUCUCCGAGGAGAUUUAAAUUCUUCCUUUGAAGUUACAAGACCGAACUCUUACUAUUGUGAGAUGACAUCUCGUGUAUGUUUAAUUUCAAUAUGUAACACGGUGUUGUGGAUGUUGCAGGUGUGGGCGUCUCUGCUAUUAUAUCGACAAAUAUUGGACGAAAUAGAAGCUAAUGAUUACAAUAAUUUCACUAAGAGGGCUUAUGUGAGCAAAACAAAGAAGUUACUUUCUUUACCACUUGCAUAUGCUAGGUCUAUGGUUCCUCCAACAAGAAAGUUAUCUCAUGCAUAGAUCUUUUAGGUAUUUAGAAAAAUGGACAUGAUAUAAACACAGAAAAAGACAAAGUACAGUUUGUAUAUGAUGAAAAUUGUUUUAUGCAGCUUUUGAGUUAACCAAUUAUCAGUAUAAAUGCAAUCCACUUUUAUUUAUGCA